CGCACAUUGCGCCCCUUGGUAUUCCAUGGGGCAUGCCUGUUCGAGCGUCAUCUACACCCUCAAGCACUGCUUGGUGUUGGGCGUCUGUCCCGCCUUCGCGCGUGGACUCGCCCCAAAGUCAUUGGCAGCGGUCUCUGGCACCUCAACGCGCAGUACAAUGCGUUCAUUGGGGUGCCGUGGGCGCGUCCACUAAGCUUUUACCGUCUUUGACCUCGGAUCAGGUAGGGAUACCCGCUGAACUUAA
Molecule: unclassified non-coding RNA, 244 nt
Filed under: Pleosporales sp.
Lineage: Eukaryota; Fungi; Ascomycota; Dothideomycetes; Pleosporales
Description: partial contains 5.8S ribosomal RNA, internal transcribed spacer 2, and large subunit ribosomal RNA
Source: RNAcentral